UACGUAGGCAGCGAGCGUUGUUCGGAGUUACUGGGCGUAAAGAGUAUGUAGGCGGUUUUGCAAGUUUGGUGUGAAAUCUCCCGGCUCAACUGGGAGGGUGCGCCGAAAACUGCAAGGCUCGAGUGUGGGAGAGGAAAGCGGAAUUCCUGGUGUAGCGGUGAAAUGCGUAGAGAUUAGGAAGAACACCAGUGGCGAAGGCGAUUCUCUGGACCAUAACUGACGUUGAGGCAUGAAAGCGUGGGUAGCAAAC
This 250-nucleotide ribosomal RNA is filed under the name uncultured bacterium. Its description in RNAcentral is "partial 16S ribosomal RNA". It matches the Rfam family "Bacterial small subunit ribosomal RNA", at positions 524 to 773 of the family's 1533-position model. The record is from RNAcentral.